Molecule: small RNA, 1118 nt
Filed under: Pan troglodytes (chimpanzee)
Lineage: Eukaryota; Metazoa; Chordata; Mammalia; Primates; Hominidae
Description: processed transcript
Source: RNAcentral
GUAAGACCGGGGGGACGCGGCGGUAGCGGCGGCCGUUGCGAUUGAUUGCGCUGGUUACCUGCGGAGUCCACUUCCUUGGCCGCCCUUGCUACACUGGCUGAUUGUUGUGCAGCCGGCGCCAUGUCUGUGAGCGAGAUCUUCGUGGAGCUGCAGGGCUUUUUGGCUGCCGAGCAGGACAUCCGAGAGUUGAGCCAGAUCGGGAGAAAGGAUUUCAUCUGGAUGUAGAAGAUUAUCUCUCAGGAGUUCUAAUUCUUGCCAGUGAACUGUCGAGGCUGUCUGUCAACAGCGUGACUGCUGGAGACUACUCCCGACCCCUCCACAUCUCCACCUUCAUCAAUGAGCUGGAUUCUGGUUUUCGCCUUCUCAACCUGAAAAAUGACUCCCUGAGGAAGCGCUACGACGGAUUGAAAUAUGACGUGAAGAAAGUAGAGGAAGUGGUCUAUGAUCUCUCCAUCCGGGGCUUUAAUAAGGAGACGGCAGCAGCUUGUGUUGAAAAAUAGGAGGCUCUCCUUGCUCCUGGCCUUGCUGACCUCAGCGGUUGCCAGGAAGGGGUGAGCACAGAGUGCCUCUUACGGUAGUUAGGAUGCUCAGUUGCUAAACACUGCGCUUUAUUUUCUUAACCAGUUGUGGUGUGAGUAUCAGAAUUGAAACACUUUUUUGGGGGUAAAAAAUAUAGCCUUUACAUGGACAGAAUUUUUUUUGUUGUUUCAGUGAAUAUGCCUGUAAUUCAGUGUAUUUCAGUUCCGUCAGAAAGUGUAAAUGUUAGUUUCUUGGUAAAGUCCUUUUCUUGCUUACCUUGACUGUUGAUGUACUGAUUGAGAAGUUCAUUGUCUCGUUUGUGAUUCUUCCAGAUGUGAUGCUUGAUAUUUUCUAUAUGCGAGUUAGCCAUCCACACCCAGGCAUAGCCUGGAUACAGUAUAAAAAUAGAUAAUUAAAAAGAUGGUUGCCAAGCAAGGAAAACUUAUUUUAUAUUUUCCCUUCCUUAUUUUAAGCAUUGUGGGUAAAUCACAUGUUGAAUUCUUUUGCCAAGGGAAUUAUAGCCGCAGGUUCUCUCUCACUGCCAUCAAACUAUAAAAGAUUAAACUGCAAAGUCAAGCUCAACAGAUUAUUUUGGAAAG